Molecule: non-coding RNA, 158 nt
Organism: Cladophialophora carrionii CBS 160.54
Lineage: Eukaryota; Fungi; Ascomycota; Eurotiomycetes; Chaetothyriales; Herpotrichiellaceae
Source: the annotation of a RefSeq genome assembly
GCCUCUAUGGCGCAGUGGUAACGGUAAGUGAAUUCAAGGCAGAUUUUCUGGUAGCUCUAGUCUGACAAUGCUUCAGCGUCGCACUUGUACUGCUGAAAGGAUACUUCCUCUUGUGGCGAUCAAUGCGAAGAUCACAAGUUCAAUUCUUGUUGGAGGCA